UCCGGGGUAGCUCAGCUGGCAGUAGCAUCUGACUGUUAAUCAGAGGGUCGUGGGUUCGAGCCCCACCCCCGGAG
This 74-nucleotide transfer RNA is filed under the name Ilumatobacter fluminis. It matches the Rfam family "tRNA". From Rfam's summary of the family: Transfer RNA (tRNA) molecules are approximately 80 nucleotides in length. Their secondary structure includes four short double-helical elements and three loops (D, anti-codon, and T loops). Further hydrogen bonds mediate the characteristic L-shaped molecular structure. tRNAs have two regions of fundamental functional importance: the anti-codon, which is responsible for specific mRNA codon recognition, and the 3' end, to which the tRNAs corresponding amino acid is attached (by aminoacyl-tRNA synthetases). tRNAs cope with the degeneracy of the genetic code in two manners: having more than one tRNA (with a specific anti-codon) for a particular amino acid; and 'wobble' base-pairing, i.e. permitting non-standard base-pairing at the 3rd anti-codon position. Lineage: Bacteria; Bacillati; Actinomycetota; Acidimicrobiia; Acidimicrobiales; Ilumatobacteraceae. The record is from Rfam by way of RNAcentral.